GGCGCCGCGGCUCGCGCUCCGCUCCCGUCCCCCCCUCGCGCGCGGCGGCCGCUCCCCCUCCCCCUCCCCCCGCGGCGCCCCCUUCCCUCACAGCGCGGCAAGAUGGCGGCGGCGCGCGGCGGCGGCGGCAACAUCCAGAUGCUGCUGGAGGCGGCCGAGUACCUGGAUCGGCGGGAGCGAGAAGCGGAGCACGGCUACGCCUCGCUGCUCCCCUACGGCGGCGGCAAGGACGGCGAGGCCCUGCGGCGCCGCGCCAAGGCCAAGAAGAGCAGCAGUAGCAACAGCAGGUCAACACACAAUGAGAUGGAGAAGAACAGGCGUGCCCAUCUGCGAUUGUGUUUGGAAAAGCUGAAAGGGCUGGUACCACUUGGUCCUGAAUCCAGUAGACAUACUACGCUGAGUUUACUAAAAAAAGCUAAAUUGCACAUAAAGAAGCUUGAAGAAUAUGACAGAAAAGCAGUACACCAAAUAGACCAGCUGCAGCGGGAACAGAGGCAUCUGAAAAGGCAGCUGGAGAAACUGGGCAUAGAAAGAAUAAGAAUGGACAGUAUAGGAUCUACAGUUUCCUCGGAGCGCUCGGACUCUGACAGAGAAGAGAUUGAUGUGGAUGUCGAGAGCACAGACUGCCUACCUGCAGACCUAGACUGGAGCAGCAGCGGUCUGAGCGAUUCGGAUGAAAGGGGAAGCCUGCAGAGCGUCUGCAGCGACGAAGGCUAUUCCAGCUCGGGUGUCAAGAGAUUGAAGUCACAGAGCAAUCACAAGCCUUGUCUCGGUCUAUAAGAAGCAACUCCUGUAGCCGUUUCACGCGUUGCUGUUUCCCUGUUGGAUCUCGUUAGGUAGUGUAUUGGACCGUCCCACAAUUCUCUUGCACGUAAAUCUAACGUACCACCGACAUCAUUGAAGUCAGCUUUGCCUAAGUCCCAAAACAGUGCAUAGGGUUGUGGGUUACAAGCUACUCUCUGGAGCACACAUCUGAUUGCAUCCACUAGCUUCUCUUCCUGUCAGUAAACUCAUCUCUGUGAGACUGUACAUUCCAACCAAAUUUUGAAGCGCCCGAGAAUAUUUUAGCAGUAACAGCGACCUAAAAAAGCCUCUACUUCUUUUCUUUCUUUCUUUCUUUUUCUUUUUGGCUUGCUGUUAGUGCCUGAUAUUCUAGAUCUGCUUUGUAUUUGCCUAGCAACGUAAUGUAUCUAAUGAUCAGAAAUAGGGCCCAAAGGUAACCUGUCUGGGCAAUGCUCUGAAGGGAGAACCAAUCUAAUAUUUAGUUUAGAUCUGGCAGUGGGUGGAGGGAAGUCUGAGAGCGGUGCGCGGAGCAUUUCAGCCAUGUCACGUCUUCGGCGUGCGCGAUAAUUGCACUGUGAAAUGCUGGAGCGUUAAUUUGAGGACUUAUCUCUAAAUAUUCAGGGUAUUAGCGUAACCGUAUAACCUUUGGCCCAGUCCUGCUGUCUUACUACAGCUCCUACUGGUUUUUGAAGGCCGCGGUGGGAAAGCAGGAGAGAUCCUGCGAAGGCCGCUCUUGCGUUAGCAACCGCCGAGAAGCAGUGGGAGUUCUGACGACAGCAGGGCUGCGGGGACCCGUCUCGGGAGGUUUUGAGCACCCUCUGCAGAAUGCAAGGCACUUCUCCCUGCGAGACCGGGCUGCAGGACCUUGGCGAGGGAGCUCCUGCUCCUCCUCUUGCAGAGCCUUUGAGAGGACGUCUUCAGUUUGUACACAUCUCAAAAGUUUCUUUAAUACCUAAAACCAAAUGGUACUAUACUUCUCCUGUGCAAUUUAUGACCUCAUGCAUUACAGCUGCAUAUUACUGUUCUAGGCAAGUUUUCCUAGAAGCUCGUUCAUGCAUCUUGUCUCUGGGACAAAUUUUUUCUACCUCAGAGAGAUGAACAAAGAUUAUCUCAAUCCCUUUAGCACAAAAAUAAUUAUGCCUCAUUUGUUUUAUAGAAGCGAUGCUUGGUCCUCUUCAAAUCUGUUACGCAAAAGUUAGCAAUAACUGAGUGAUGAGGGUAGCUGUGCUACCUUUGGCUGUUGGUGAUUGAGAAGGGCACGUUUUACAGAAUGUUGCUUAACAGGCAGAUCAUAAAAUGCUGUCCGGGGUCGCAGUACAGAUGGUGAAACCAGGCACGUGCUCGUCCGGAAGAGAAAGCGGACGCUCUUGCACUUAAUCAGAGCAGAGAAAUCACAAUCGCAGUAACUUGUGUGUUAAUGAUCGUCCGUCUCAAAUGCCGAAAGUAUUGCUUGUUCCUGGCGAGCUUUUUGCUGAGCGUUGAGCGCCCGGAAUCGAACUCGCGUGCGAAGCCGAGCUUUCGACUCGUCGAGGUGCUGAUAGUCGCGCGUCACGAAUUCCCAGGGUCGUGGCUAGUAUGAGUUUCUCGUAUAAACUCAAAGAGCACUUUCUGAGCGGCUCCCUCGUGAGGAGCUCUCCGGAGCGCCGGGCAUUAGCAGGCCGCGCUCUGCCGCUCGCCGUCGUAGCGCAGCGGCCUCUACGGCCCCGGCUCCGAAAGCGGAGCGCGCCCCGGCCCCGCGCGGCUUCGCUCCUCGGCCGGGGCCGCGCGCCGAAGGGGCCAGGACGGAGCCUCGCGACGCCACGCGGCGGCCGGCGGGGCCUUUCCUGCCCUCCUCCAGCCCCGCCGGGCGGGCAGAAAGGGGCGUCCGAAAUGCCGUGUAGCAAUGUGUCAGGGCUUUGCCUUCCAGUUCUGCCCCUUUUUUGUAACAGAUUUCAGGUUUUGACACUGUACUGUAUUGGGAAGAAUUCUGCUUUUGCCAAGCUACAUGUUUGCUCCCCUGAAAGUGUUAUUUUGCUGUUGCUUGUUUUUAUUGCUGCUUGACCCGAAAGCUGUGGGUUUUUUUUUCUUUUCCAACUGUCUGCUAGUAGAAACAGGUACCCGAUUCCCAAGCGUGGUUGAACCAUUAAACUCGUACAACAGCUCUGUGAAUAGCUAGCUGCGUAGAUGUCUGGGCGGUGGAAGGAGAAGUCCCGAGCGCGGGUAGUCGCCCUCCUUUCGACUCUGCGACGGCCGGUUUCCCAAAAUGUCUGGAACGUGAUAAAACCGAUCGUCCGCGCUCCUCGGCGAUAGCUGUGUCGUACCGUUUCCUCCGGGGCAGAAGAAAAUCGAUAGAGGCGUCUCUCUCCCGGUUGCUAUUUGCUGGGUAGCUGUUGCGUGACUUAAAAGCCUUCUGAAACGUCCGAACCUUGAAUCAGUCUGGAUUUUUUUUUAAUAUCAGUUUUACUUGUGCUUUUUUUUUUUUCUUUUUUUCUUUGCUUCCACAUUGACGCGAGAACCAAACUCGCUCGUCUCGCUCGCUCGAGUCGGUGCUGUUCGCUGUUGAACCGUUGGCUUUAUUUUUGGCAGUCUUCCGAAUAAUAAACACGGACUAAACGGGGGAGCGGCAGAUGGGAGAAUAUGAAUUCUGUUUCCAGAUGUUCAGUUCCUAAUGUAAAUACCACAUCAUUAUAAAUCCUGUGUCAAGACCAUAUAAUGGUGCUUUUUAUUACAGUUAGCACAUGCAUUUUUAGAAACUACAUGUUUUAGAAGACCUUGCUGUGUAUAUGUAUACUUCUGUAUUGUUUGACUGUUAGAAAAUAAAUUAUUUCAUUAUUAA
Molecule: RNA transcript, 3598 nt
Organism: Rhea pennata
Lineage: Eukaryota; Metazoa; Chordata; Aves; Rheiformes; Rheidae
Gene: MXD1
Gene name: MAX dimerization protein 1
Exons: 7
Source: RefSeq, a predicted model, not a curated record